This 900-nucleotide ribosomal RNA is filed under the name uncultured bacterium. RNAcentral's name for it is "bacterial SSU rRNA". It matches the Rfam family "Bacterial small subunit ribosomal RNA", at positions 22 to 930 of the family's 1533-position model. The record is from RNAcentral.
GCUCAGGACGAACGCUGGCGGCGUGCCUAACACAUGCAAGUCGAGCGGGGAACACUGAAAGCUUGCUUUUGGGUUUCUAGCGGCGGACGGGUGAGUAACGCGUGAGCAAUCUGUCUGACAGGGGGAUACCAGCGAAAGUUGCACUAAUACCGCAUAGGACCACAGAGCCACAUGGCAUAGGGGUCAAAGGAGCAAUCCGGUCUGAGGUGAGCUCGCGUCCCAUUAGGUAGUUGGUGAGGUAACGGCCCACCAAGCCUGCGAUAGGUAGCCGACCUGAGAGGGUGAUCGGCCACACUGGAAUUGAGAGACGGUCCAGACUCCUACGGGAGGCAGCAGUGGGGAAUAUUGGGCAAUGGGCGAAAGCCUGACCCAGCAACGCCGCGUGAGGGAAGAAGGUUCUCGGAUUGUAAACCUCUGUCCCAAGAGAAGAGGGAAAGACGGUAUCUUGGGAGGAAGCCCCGGCUAACUACGUGCCAGCAGCCGCGGUAAUACGUAGGGGGCGAGCGUUGUCCGGAAUGAUUGGGCGUAAAGGGCGCGUAGGCGGCUAUUUAAGUCUGGAGUGAAAGUCCUGCUUUUAAGGUGGGAAUUGCUUUGGAAACUGGAUGGCUUGAGUGCAGGAGAGGUUAUCGGAAUUCCCGGUGUAGCGGUGAAAUGCGUAGAGAUCGGGAGGAACACCAGUGGCGAAGGCGGGUAACUGGACUGCAACUGACGCUGAUGCGCGAAAGUGUGGGGGAGCAAACAGGAUUAGAUACCCUGGUAGUCCACACUGUAAACGAUGAAUGCUAGGUGUAGGGGGGUAUCGACCCCUUCUGUGCCGGAGUAAACACAAUAAGCAUUCCGCCUGGGGAGUACGGCCGCAAGGGUUGAAACUCAAAGGAAUUGACGGGGGCCCGCACAAGC